Molecule: ribosomal RNA, 468 nt
Filed under: uncultured bacterium
Lineage: Bacteria
Description: partial 16S ribosomal RNA
Rfam family: Bacterial small subunit ribosomal RNA
Source: RNAcentral
GACGAACGCUGGCGGCGUGCUUAACACAUGCAAGUCGAACGGAAAGGCCCUGCUUUUGUGGGGUGCUCGAGUGGCGAACGGGUGAGUAACACGUGAGUAACCUGCCCUUGACUUUGGGAUAACUUCAGGAAACUGGGGCUAAUACCGGAUAGGAGCUCCUGCUGCAUGGUGGGGGUUGGAAAGUUUCGGCGGUUGGGGAUGGACUCGCGGCUUAUCAGCUUGUUGGUGGGGUAGUGGCUUACCAAGGCUUUGACGGGUAGCCGGCCUGAGAGGGUGACCGGCCACAUUGGGACUGAGAUACGGCCUAGACUCCUACGGGAGGCAGCAGUGGGGAAUAUUGCACAAUGGGCGGAAGCCUGAUGCAGCAACGCCGCGUGCGGGAUGACGGCCGUCGGGUUGUAAACCGCUUUCGCCUGUGACGAAGCGUGAGUGACGGUAAUGGGUAAAGAAGCACCGGCUAACUACGUG